Molecule: small nucleolar RNA, 129 nt
Organism: Pseudophryne corroboree (corroboree frog)
Lineage: Eukaryota; Metazoa; Chordata; Amphibia; Anura; Myobatrachidae
Product: small nucleolar RNA SNORA63
Exons: 1
Source: RefSeq, a predicted model, not a curated record
UUGCAGGAUAAGUUACAGUAUAGCUGUUAAGUGCUGUUCUGUCGUUCCCCCUGCAAAUAACAAAAUGUUUCCUACUAUCCCUGUCCGUUCUGACCCCUUCAGCAGACAGGGACGCUUGGUCUCAAACAU